This 363-nucleotide transfer-messenger RNA is filed under the name Escherichia coli. It matches the Rfam family "transfer-messenger RNA". From Rfam's summary of the family: Bacterial tmRNA, also known as 10Sa RNA or SsrA, is named for its dual tRNA and mRNA-like properties. Its role is to liberate the mRNA from a stalled ribosome. The record is from RNAcentral. Lineage: Bacteria; Pseudomonadati; Pseudomonadota; Gammaproteobacteria; Enterobacterales; Enterobacteriaceae.
GGGGCUGAUUCUGGAUUCGACGGGAUUUGCGAAACCCAAAGUGCAUGCCGAGGGGCGGUUGGCCUCGUAAAAAGCCGCAAAAAAUAGUCGCAAACGACAAAAACUACGCUUUAGCAGCUUAAUAACCUGCUUAGAGCCCUCUCUCCCUAGCCUCCGCUCUUAGGACGGGGAUCAAGAGAGGUCAAACCCAAAAGAGAUCGCGUGGAAGCCCUGCCUGGGGUUGAAGCGUUAAAACUUAAUCAGGCUAGUUUGUUAGUGGCGUGUCCGUCCGCAGCUGGCAAGCGAAUGUAAAGACUGACUAAGCAUGUAGUACCGAGGAUGUAGGAAUUUCGGACGCGGGUUCAACUCCCGCCAGCUCCACCA